GAGGGGGAGCUCGGCCCUUAUUCUGAAUUUCUAUUUUGGGGAGGGACAGCGGGGUGAGCAGAAAGGGAGAAAUGCCCUCUACAAAGAUGGCGCCAGCGGUUUCCUCCCAAUGGCAGUCGAGGGCAAGCGGGAGCGCUCUCCCGUCGCAGGGGAAGUGACGUAUCAGCCCGCGCGACGGCCCUUUCCGGUUCCUCCUUUUGCCCUUAGGCGCACGUGUGCGAAGCGGGGAAAGAAUGAGGGGCCGCCGGGAAAGACGGAAAGAGGCUUGGAGUGCACAAUGAAGGGAGACCAGAGCAAGCUCCUGAGUGACACAGC
Long non-coding RNA from Podarcis raffonei (Aeolian wall lizard), 315 nucleotides. RefSeq lists it as uncharacterized. Lineage: Eukaryota; Metazoa; Chordata; Lepidosauria; Squamata; Lacertidae. The record is from RefSeq and is a predicted model, not a curated record. The transcript has 2 exons.